RNAcentral lists this ribosomal RNA (440 nucleotides) under uncultured bacterium. RNAcentral's name for it is "partial 16S ribosomal RNA". It matches the Rfam family "Bacterial small subunit ribosomal RNA", at positions 338 to 795 of the family's 1533-position model. The record is from RNAcentral.
CCUACGGGGUGCAGCAGUGGGGAAUAUUGCACAAUGGGGGAAACCCUGAUGCAGUGACGCCGCGUGAAGGAAGAAGUAUCUCGGUAUGUAAACUUCUAUCAGCAGGGAAGAAAAUGACGGUACCUGACUAAGAAGCCCCGGCUAACUACGUGCCAGCAGCCGCGGUAAGACGUAGGGGGCAAGCGUUAUCCGGAUUUACUGGGUGUAAAGGGAGCGUAGACGGAAGAGCAAGUCUGAUGUGAAAGGCUGGGGCUUAACCCCAGGACUGCAUUGGAAACUGUUUUUCUAGAGUGCAGGAGAGGUAAGCGGAAUUCCUAGUGUAGCGGUGAAAUGCGUAGAUAUUAGGAGGAACACCAGUGGCGAAGGCGGCUUACUGGACGGUAACUGACGUUGAGGCUCGAAAGCGUGGGGAGCAAACAGGAGUAGAUACCCUUGUAGUC